Molecule: ribosomal RNA, 485 nt
Filed under: Eremophila alpestris albigula
Lineage: Eukaryota; Metazoa; Chordata; Aves; Passeriformes; Alaudidae
Description: partial 16S ribosomal RNA
Rfam family: Bacterial large subunit ribosomal RNA
Source: RNAcentral
UUUAACGGCCGCGGUAUCCUAACCGUGCAAAGGUAGCGCAAUCAAUUGUCCCAUAAAUCGGGACACGUAUGAAUGGCUAAACGAGGUCUUAACUGUCUCUUACAGGCAAUCGGUGAAAUUGAUCUCCCUGUGCGAAAGCAGGGAUAACCACAUAAGACGAGAAGACCCUGUGGAACUUCAAAAACAGCGACCACCCCAACAUACAUACACACCCACCCCGGGCGCACUUAUCCAUAAAGCACUGGUUCGCAUUUUUUCGGUUGGGGCGACCUUGGAGCAAAACAAAACCUCCAAAGAUUGGACCAUCCCUCCAGACUAAGAGCAACCUCUCAACGUGCCAACAGCACCCAGACCCAAUACAAUUGAUCAAUGGACCAAGCUACCCCAGGGAUAACAGCGCAAUCUCCUCCAAGAGUCCAUAUCGACGGGGAGGUUUACGACCUCGAUGUUGGAUCAGGACAUCCUAGUGGUGCAGGAGCUACUAA